AACCCNGAAACUAAGCGAGCUACUUUNAAACAGCCUAUUGGGCUAACCCGUCUCUGUGGCAAUAGAGUGGGGAGAUUUACAAGUAGAAGUGAAAAGCCUAUCGAGCUUAGAAAUAGCUGGNUAUUCAUGAAAAGAAUAUAAGAUCUGCCUUAAGUAUUAUUAUGAUACCCAAACAACAUUCUAAACUUAAGAGUUAUUUAAAUAAGGAACAGCUUAUUUAAACCAGGACACAACCUAGACAACCGGGUAAAGUCUCAAUUUAUACCAAGUGGGCCUGAAAGCAGCCAUCUUUUAAAAAGCGUCAAAGCUUAACCCAGAACCCUUAAAAUACCAUUAACCCCACUGAACCCCUAUUUUAUAAUGAAUGACUCCAUACAAUUAUGGAAGACACCAUACUGGGAUUAGUAACAAGAACCUAUAGUUCUCCGCAAUGCAAAUAUACACCAACCCGGAUAAACCAUUGGUAAUUACCGAAUCUGAGCUUUAUGCACCAACACUCGCAAGAAAACCCUGCAAUACUCACUCGUUAACCUAACACCAGCGCAUUACAGGAAAGAUUUAAAGAAAGAGAAGGAACUCGGCAAAUAACAACCC
RNAcentral lists this ribosomal RNA (594 nucleotides) under Polypedates cruciger (Sri Lanka whipping frog). RNAcentral's name for it is "partial 16S ribosomal RNA". The stretch from base 1 to 400 matches the Rfam family "Bacterial large subunit ribosomal RNA", at positions 711 to 1301 of the family's 2925-position model. The record is from RNAcentral. Lineage: Eukaryota; Metazoa; Chordata; Amphibia; Anura; Rhacophoridae.